GCCAGUUGGGUCAAGCUGUCAAGCUUUUCAGAUCUUCUGGCUAUGUCCUCAGCCACCUGAGUGGUGGUCGUGUAAGCAUGGAUCCUCAUGCUUGGCUGUUUGUCCGUUUACAGUGCUUGGAAUACAAUCCAGGAUCUUGAAUGUGCUAGGCCAGUGCCUCAUCCUGGGCUUCACCCUCAGCUUCAGUGUCACUUCUUACGAGGACACUAAAUACAUGGCUUGGAACUCAGCCUUAAGAUCUCCUUUCAUGCUACAACCCACAAGAUGAUAAAGACAACUGGGAUACACUUGUAGAAAAUGCUGAAGUUUAUUAAAGAAAUAAAUUAUGAAUCCAGCCAAUGUGAAAUAGUGUCUGCCACAGGUAUGAAAGCCUGACUAAAAUACCUUCUGUCUCCUCAGUCAUCUCAGCUGACUCCUCUGACUUUGGUAUUUGCAAAUCCACCUAGCAUUGCCUACUUAAAAUGUGCUUAGGAAGUUAGCAUUGAAGUCUUCCAGCCACAGAAUGCUAACUGACUCAGUCUAGAUCGCCUAGACUUCACAGACAGAGCUGGGAAACAGAUCAAGAGAAGAAAUCACAAGUGAAGAAACGGAACCAGAAAUUAACACCCAAUGGUGGACAAGACUCUUCGUCUUCGUACAAAUCUAACAGGGCUGGUGUGAGUUCACUUCAUUUUCUGAUGCCAUUCAGAUCUGGAUGCUCCAUCAAAGAAGCAAAAGUCCUCGAAAUGUGGAGCCUCUGAGAUGAUGCCAGAGCAGUUUUCAGUCAACAGAGACUGCCAUUUCCAAGGAAGGCUGACACCACUGAGAGCAUUUCUUUUCCAACUGUUUUCUGGACUGAGAUUCACCUCUGCUCAUAAGUCUUGAUCAUGUCAAUAUGAGACCAGUGCUCACACUUUCUGACACCUUCAUCUAAAUCAUUUUUAUUUUUUCUUUCCACUUUGGCAUUAAAAAAAUCUAUCUUUAAAACAGGAGCAAAGUAUAUUUUCCUGGGUCGAAAUAGUGCACGC
Molecule: non-coding RNA, 1007 nt
Organism: Peromyscus maniculatus bairdii (prairie deer mouse)
Lineage: Eukaryota; Metazoa; Chordata; Mammalia; Rodentia; Cricetidae
Source: RefSeq, a predicted model, not a curated record